This is a long non-coding RNA of Carassius gibelio (silver crucian carp), 359 nucleotides long. RefSeq lists it as uncharacterized. NCBI's taxonomy places the organism in Eukaryota, Metazoa, Chordata, Actinopteri, Cypriniformes, Cyprinidae. The transcript is spliced from 3 exons. The record is from RefSeq and is a predicted model, not a curated record.
CCCAGUGGUGUUGCCUCUGACACCGGACCGUAGUACGGUUUGUGUGAGUGAGUGAACUGGUCCUGUGCGCGAGGGGCAAGUGACAAGUGAGCGAGGGGAGACGCUGCUACGACGACAGAGGGAGGAGAGAGAGAGAGAGAGAGAGAGAGAGAGAGAGAGAUGUCCACUUAACUGCACAGUUUCCAAGAUUUAACGGACAACACAUCAUACCCCACUCUCCACUACUCUACACAGCUGCAUGCCCGUAUUAGAGCCAGUGCCUACUGCCAACCAUACAGAAAGCAAAGCUGGCCCUGGGAAAGAGACAUGAGGCCACAACCCAACAAAGAGAGAGAAAAGAACAACUGCAGAGGUGUGAG